UCAGCAGUUCUAGGAAGUGGGGCUGGAACUCACACGUCUACCAAGUUCCCAGGUGAGGCAGAUGCUGCCGGGCUGGGGCGCACACUUGGAGAACCACUGCCUCACAAGAAGUGCCCAGCCACCCUCAGGGGCCAUUGGGGGAUCUCAAUCCGCCACAUCCAUGGCCCUGGCUUUCUAGACAACACACUUAGAACGUGCUGGAUGAAAUGUGUCCCCCUGGACUGCUCCAGAGUCCGGAAAGAGGCGGAAGCAAAGGGCUGCCGACACCCAUCUCUGGAGAAGCUCCUCUUUCCCGAGGAAGUGGCACUUACUGCCAACACCACAGAGUGGAGCUCGGAGCAGGUGAAUUGCUCACAUGAUAAGCAUGGCAGACACCACGGCAGCCCCGGAGGGACUGACCCCAGGAAUAGGUUACAAGUCAUAGUCACUUUCAGGAACUAGAGGGUUUGAAGUCUGUCACCGGGACAUUUGCAGGCAGAGCUGGCUUCAGAGCAAUGCUCGAAAUGGGAGGAGCAUCCUGCCAAGACAUCCCAGCCGUCGGCUGUAAUUUGUCUGCGACUUUUGUCACAACAAAAAUGCAGUGAGUAAUCAACUGAAAUACCCCGCAGGGAUCAGUAGACCCAUCUAUUCUAUGACAGACAAGCGGGUGAAUCUGCCAAAUUCUAAUGCCGACAAAGAUGAGAAUAUGGAACAGGAGUUUAAUAAGGAGCACAUGUUGGGUUAUACUUCAGGACUAGCUAAGGGGAAGUGGUCCUAAUGAUAAAGCGGCCAGAAGGAGCAAAAUUAGAACUCGUACUGGAAAGUAUGAAAUAGACAAAACCAAAGGGUCCAAGCAAAGUGUUAGUGACAUCUGUAUAAAAUCAAUAAAAGCAAUGUGCGAAAUUCACCUUGAUCACUUCCCACCCAUCCAGUCAUUCUCCAUCCACUUUUAUUUUUUUCAUAUUUAUCACUCUCUGAGAUUAGCUUGUUCAUUUACUUGUAUAUUUGUUUAUUCUCUGUUUCCCUCCAACCUGCACGUGCACACACACACAUGCCCUUAAAAAACACAAGGACAGAGACCUUGUCUGUCUUACUGUCCCCAGUGCCUAGAACACUGCCUGGAACAUAGUAAGUGCUCAGUAGAUACAUCUUGAAUGAAUAAAUUUGAGAAAAGUAAAAGAAGUUCGGCUCUAACUUUUAAUUUUUUUUAACGAAGGUAUUGGGGAUUGAACCCAGGAGGUUAAGAUGCUUUUCAUGUUAAGCAUGCUUUUUACCACUGAGCUAUACCCUCCCCCAGACUAUAAUUGAUGCAAGCUGUGAGAAUAAAGACAUCCAAGACUAUAAAUCCAAGGAUAUUUGUAUUAGUCUUACUUCCAGUCAGAAGUAUAUCAAUAUCUCUAACUCACUUAGGGCCAAUGAAAUAGGAACAUUAGUCGAUAGGUGCCCCAUUAUUAUGAGAGCUUUUGCACCACGAAAGUCCUCAAGGGGGUGCUAGCAUAGUAAAAGGGGAGUGGUGCCAUCUACAUGUCAGAGCAGGAGCUCUGGGGCAUCAGGUUUGGUUUUCAAAUGCAAUGAGGGAUCCAUGGGGUCUGAAAGCAACUUAGAAGGGGACUUUGAAAUUGACCACUGGGACUGAGAACACUUGGAUUUAAGACUUGCAAACAAAGGGCCAUGCCAAAUGUCUAAAGGGCAAGCGGGGGUGCACCCAUGAAGGCAAGGAACUCACCCAGUUUUCUAGGUCAUUACCACUUGGAAAGUAUAAUGACCUCUGCAUAGGCCAUGGGGCAGUAAUUCAACUUGGAGGGACUGGACUUAAUCUGGGGAAGUUGGGGAACGAGGUCACCCUCCUUCAGAAGGAAUAUUGUUCUCUGUGCUAAAGCUAUAAGCUAGGUCUGUAGUUUCUAUAAGAAUAGCUCAUUUACAGAAUUCUCCCAACAACACUAUACACAUUAACCAAGAUGUGUCUAUCCCCUUUGCUCUAAUUAAGUUUGAGAGUUGGAUGUAAUCAUUCUUACUCUGUCCCAAAACACUGAGAGCCUACUUGAAAUGUAAAAUCGCAAAGUAAUUCAAUAUUUACUAAAUUUAAAGGAAGUAAUCAAUUUAUGCACAGUCUUUUCCCCCUUUAGCACUGUCUUUAUUUCCCUCAAGUUCCUCUUUGGUCAUUAAGAUUGUCAGCAAGGUUACAGUCAUUGAACAACUUGUCACAGGCUGCAGAUAUUUCUAGGCCAAAUUAAACUCUCAAUGUACUUGCAUAUAACUAAUGAAAACUGUAUUAGACACUUACGGGCAAGACUCUAUACGUUCUGGAUUCAUAGCCCAUUGCUCCGUAGAGAGCGGGGCAUCAAGUAGGUGUUCAUCAAAUAUUGGUCAAAUAAAUGAAAGAAAACAUCUGUCUCCCCUCUGACAGAAUUAUGUUCCCACAUUCACAAUCUCAGGCCUAUCUGACCCAGCACAUGUAUAUGUGUGCAGUGCUCUCAAAAUUACCACAUGCUCAGGCUCCAAGUUGAAUACGUUAUCCUUCCUCUCAGCACAGACAUUUGCAAAACCAAACACUUACCCAAGAUUCACAUACAGGGGGAGGGUAUAGCUCAAGAGGCAGAGCGCAUGCUUAGCAUGCGUGAGGUCCUGGGUUCAAUCCCCAGCACGUCCUCUAAAAAUAAACAAACCUAAUCACCCCCCACCACCAAAAUAAAAUAAGUAAUACAGUAAUAAAUAACAUAUUUUUUUAAAAAGAUUUACAUACAAAUUGUCCCAAGAAAGGUUAUUUUAAAUAGCCUUUCCCCUCAAACAUACCAACCUUCCAGAACCUAAAAUCUGAACUCAAUUUUCAUUUAGGAGAGCUGUUCCCUCCUCUAGAAAACAUACACCUUUGAAAGGUCCAACUGCCAACUCCUAUCUCCAGUUCAUAAUAAUAGACAUUCAUAGUUUACCUGCCACGCUUUCCCUGGAAAGCUCAGUUUGAACCACUCUCCUAACUUAGACUACUUUUACUUCUGCUCAGACUAAUGCCUGGCCCUUCUUCCUUGUUUUCGACUUCUAAUACUUCUUGAAGCUAGAGUCCCCCAUCAGUAUUCCUGACAAAGGAUGACAAAAGCCAGACGACACUUCAGCCUCGUAGGAUAUCCUGCCCUGGAGAUGCUCAGCAGGCAACUGGAAAUUGGAGUUAGCCUGGAGCUCCGGAAUAAGUUAAGAAUCGGAGAGGUCAAUUUGGGAAUCAUUAGCGUAGAGGUGAAAGGUGAAGCUGUGUGAGGAGAUGAAAUUACCCAGAAUGAGAACACAGCAAGAGAGGAGAUGCAGGUCAAUGACAGGACCUUGGAAACUGCUUCACUGAAAGGGGCGAGGGGGAGGGAGAGGCUGUGUGUGUGUGUGUGUCUGCAUGUGUCUGUAAAAACAAUCCCAUAAAGGAAACUUAAGAAGCGUUAAGAAGAAGACAGCAGGUGAACCAAGAUAAACUGGGAAUGCUUUCAAGCAAGAGAAGAUAUGGAAAAGUUCCAGAACCUCCAAAGAGUUAAAGACUGAAGCUAGAGAAGCCACUGGAUUUUGAAACAUGGUGGUCACAGCUAACCUUUGGGCAAGCAGUCUUCAGGGUGCCCCUCUGUGAACUUUGUGUGCCUAAAUGCAGAUGUGUACAGGUGUGUAUGCAUGGACUCCAAAUGACUGUAUGAUUAAAGGUUAUGACUGAAUGAGUCUGGCACUGGGUGUGCCAGACGAUGGUGGUAAUCACCACCACCAUUUACUGACUGUUUACUAUGUGCCAGGAACGGUGCUAAACAUUUGAUAUGUCUGAUCUCAAUUUAAUCCCUGUAACAACCCUAUAAGGUGUCUACAUUUUACAUGUGAAGAAACAAAAUCCACAGAGCUUAAAGAACUUCCUCAAGGUCACACCGCUAGCAAGUGGCAGCACCAGGAUCAGACCCAAGGACAGUUUGAUUCUAAAAGCCCCUACUCUCAGUCUCUGCAGUAACACUUCCAGAUGCUGGUGUUAGCUGGGGAAUCUGCGCAUGACAGGAAGGGAGCGGAUAUAGUGGCUGAGUGUCUCCUAUCGCCAAGUGUUCUGCAUAGGACGUCUCCUUUCACACGUAUACCAUCAAUAUUAUGGCUAUGUUUAGGUAAACGUUAUGAAGGCAUAUUUAAAGAAAUCAGAUUCACUUUUUGGAAAAUAAGUUGAAGCCAUGUGAUUCCAAAACAGCCGUAAUUCAAGUGUAUUUACUACAGUAGCUCCCAAGGGUUUGACAGUUAAAAAAAAAAUGCGGCGUCAUUGAUUUGGUGGUUCUUAUGGAUAUUCAAAUUACUGAUAAGCAAACUCAUCUGAAAAGUGAGGGAAUUUGACAGGAUGAUCUGAAAGGCCUCCUCCAGCCUUGAUUUUUUUCUUUAUGAUUCUUAUAUGCAGGUCUAAUGCCAAUAAUUUUAAAGGUAUGGAAUAAGAAGUAGAAAGUAAAUGCAGCAACAGAACUGGUUUGUAUGUCAACAUCCUUUUAUCCUUAAAAUUUAUAGAGGCUGACUGUUAAACUGUUAUACAAAGAGUCUUUGGUUAUUGGAGGCAAUGACUGCUAACUUGAGCAGAAGCGUGGAAACUCCAUCACAAAAUGAUACUGUGAAAAUCCAGCCAAAUAAUUUGCUUGCAACCAACUGCAGACCCUAUGAUACAACUGGCUAUAGGAAAAAGAGAGAGAGAGAGACUGGCAAACACUCUGGCAGUUAAUGUUUUUGCUGUCUACAGAAAAACAAAUGAGGUUCUGGUCUGAAACAAUUAGCGUCGCUAUUCAUUGUGCAUGUGUGUAGCAAUAAUGCAAGGCAUUUGGGAUGGUUUCCACUGAUUGUUCCCUUCUUUUUCCGGAUUAGGAAAUCCAUUCAGACAACUAAAUAAUAGCAAGCAUUUAUGCAAAUUGUUAAUUAUGAGGCAGAGAUCAUCAUAAUCUUGUAUAUUUAUAAAAUUGAAUAUACAAUGGGGAUUACCAAA
Vicugna pacos (alpaca) is the source of this 4939-nucleotide non-coding RNA. The record is from RefSeq and is a predicted model, not a curated record. NCBI's taxonomy places the organism in Eukaryota, Metazoa, Chordata, Mammalia, Artiodactyla, Camelidae.